UCUGAUUGAUACAUCUGGAUGUAC
Molecule: non-coding RNA, 24 nt
Filed under: Arabidopsis thaliana (thale cress)
Lineage: Eukaryota; Viridiplantae; Streptophyta; Magnoliopsida; Brassicales; Brassicaceae
Source: RNAcentral